GCUUUUUGGUCUUUCCUGCUGCCUUGUGAAGAAGGUGCUUGUUUCUUCUUUGCCUUCUGCCAUGAUUGCCAUGUGAAUCGCACCCCUGGAACUGUGCAGGGCCCACCUGUGUGGCCACACGCAGUGACCCUGAGCAAAGGAGUGACCACAGAAGUGCAUGGCAAAGCAGAAAGGUGUGACGUCUUGGAGGACGCGGGAGGAAAGCACGCCCAGCGGACAGGAGCCAUCACGCGGCUGCGGGCUGCUGCUGAGAACCUGGCGUGGGCCACCGUCGUCAGCAGCGUGGAGGGAGCCGAGGAGCAUGGACACCGUCUUCUCCUUCCAGCAGGCACAGGUAUGGAAGGAGACUGAGGCUGGUCUUGGAUGUCAGAGUCCAUCUGGAUAAUCCUGGAUAAAUCUCAUCUGGAGAUCCUUCACCAGAUCACAUCGGCAAUGACCUGUUCCCCAAAUAAGGCCCUGUGCACAGGUUCUGGGGUGCUAGGAGUGAGCCACCAUGCCUGGCCCAGUUUUUAAUGCUUGGACAUCUCCAAAAUCAGGACAUAUCUUGUAAUUGAAGACGUCUCACCAUAGCGGCCAGCCGUGCAACCACUGGGCCUGUCUGUGCCUGAACAACACACUGGCCUGCCUUUGCCUGAACAAGACAGCCUUAGUCUCAAAGCUUGCAGAUGGGUGUGGCCUGGUAGAAAAUUCUCAAGACAACGGCGGAGCACGCUUGCCCCUAGGAGACCAAGUGGCCGGAAUGUUGAGAAUCAGCCUUUCGCAGAAAUCCCCUAAGCGGGAGGCAGCAGGCUGACUCCAUCAGCCCCAGGCAGGCUUCUGGGCCCUGCAGCUAUGGCUCUUCAUCCUUUUACAUGUUCUUCGAGAAUCAGCUGCACCCUGGAUGCUUCUGACAGCUCAGAGGACAUCAGCAUGAGGACAAGCACAGGGCUUGAUGGCUCGGAGGGAAAUGGAGUUGGAAGAUUUGGACUUAAUGUGCACACAUUUUAGAAAUAUCUUAACAAAUUUUAUUUUGCUGAUAUCUUUCUUUUUUGUGUGUGCCAAAGUGAUGGCCAGUACAAAUCCAUGUCUAAUUAAGUCCAGAAGAGCUCCUUCAAUAAGCGUAAGAUGAAAGUUAUGAGUGAUAAGAAAGCGUCAUGUCAGUUUAAUUGGCAGCAUUUUCUCUUUCUUAGUGGUUCAUAAAAUAAGGCAGUGCUUUGCUAUCGACGG
This 1206-nucleotide long non-coding RNA is filed under the name Homo sapiens (human). RNAcentral's name for it is "HSALNT0000815". Lineage: Eukaryota; Metazoa; Chordata; Mammalia; Primates; Hominidae. The record is from RNAcentral.